CAACUUACAGAGCUUUGUCCUAGGGAGCAAGUAACACCGUGACCAAAUCGAUCAACCUAGAAAGACAAUCCUGAAUUUGGGGAAAACAUAUAUAUAUAUACAUAUAUAUAUAUAUAUGUAUAUAUAUAUUUGUCAGAUAAGUAUUUAGCAGGCACUUUUCAACUAGGUCUACCUUUAAUCUUGUAGGAUGUAAAUAGCGCAGUUCUUGGUCUGGUAAUUCCUUGCCAUUACAAAAUAAAUAAAUAAAUAUAUAUAUAUAUAUAUAUAAUUUACAGACAUCUUAUUCUCAAUCUUCCUCUUACAUAGAUAGGUAAACACAUUUUGACAGAUCUUAUUCCAAGAGGGGGAAAAAAAAAAAGAAAGAAAGAAAGAAAGAAAGAAAAAGAUAAUUUAGGUUGGAUUUAAGUGUUUUUAUGGUCUGAUUUGUUGAGUGCAUUUCCAUUGCAACAUGUAAGGGGUUGUUCCAAAUUCCUGGUAUCGUAUUGAUGGCUGCAGGUUGGUCGGGAUUUUGUAUGUCAGACAAAUGAAGCUGAAUUCAUAGCCUGAAAACAGUUGCCAAUACAGUAACAGAACUGACAGUGAAAUCUGCCUUCCUUAUCUGGCAUGCAGUAAUAGGGUUUACCACCUGGCAUUGAUUUAAUUUCAGAGGUGUUAAUUGUUUGGGGGGAGGGGUGGGGGGAAGCUGAGUACCACCCACACGUGGAUCUGCAGCACCCACUGCAGCCAAGAGCCGAGCACAAACCUAUGAACAACGAGGAAACGUACAGCACUGCACCUGUACCUCGGCAAGAAAGCUCAGCCCGAGUGUUUUAAUGAAACAGUUGGUAUCACUGGGAGGAGGGGUGAGAAUACUCUGCAGCAGGCAGCCCCUUGCUGGAAAUGUUGACUAGCAGCAGGCAGAGGGGGCUCACACAGGAUCCCACCAGACACAUCUUUCCAUUUCUGAUGCUGAGCUACCAGAUCUGUUUUUCUGGAUGAUGGCAGCAUAUCCAGCUCUCACGCAGUUUGUCAGAGGUAUGUCAGUACACUGCUCAUCUCCAUGGUA
RNAcentral lists this long non-coding RNA (1045 nucleotides) under Anas platyrhynchos platyrhynchos (common mallard). Its description in RNAcentral is "lncRNA (ENSAPLG00000030733.1)". Lineage: Eukaryota; Metazoa; Chordata; Aves; Anseriformes; Anatidae. The record is from RNAcentral.